GGGACUGUAGCUCAGCUGGUUAGAGCGCACCCUGAUAAGGUGAGGUCGGAGUUCGAGUCCUCUCAGUCCAU
This 71-nucleotide transfer RNA is filed under the name Weissella viridescens. Its description in RNAcentral is "tRNA-Ile(gat)". It matches the Rfam family "tRNA". From Rfam's summary of the family: Transfer RNA (tRNA) molecules are approximately 80 nucleotides in length. Their secondary structure includes four short double-helical elements and three loops (D, anti-codon, and T loops). Further hydrogen bonds mediate the characteristic L-shaped molecular structure. tRNAs have two regions of fundamental functional importance: the anti-codon, which is responsible for specific mRNA codon recognition, and the 3' end, to which the tRNAs corresponding amino acid is attached (by aminoacyl-tRNA synthetases). tRNAs cope with the degeneracy of the genetic code in two manners: having more than one tRNA (with a specific anti-codon) for a particular amino acid; and 'wobble' base-pairing, i.e. permitting non-standard base-pairing at the 3rd anti-codon position. The record is from RNAcentral. Lineage: Bacteria; Bacillati; Bacillota; Bacilli; Lactobacillales; Lactobacillaceae.